Molecule: non-coding RNA, 31 nt
Filed under: Mus musculus (house mouse)
Lineage: Eukaryota; Metazoa; Chordata; Mammalia; Rodentia; Muridae
Source: RNAcentral
UNCCACUUGGCUACCUGGUGCUACUUCCUCC